GGCUAUGACCAUAUGGCCCUUAAGGCACCCAGUCUUGUCUGAUCACGGAAGCUAAGCAGAGUCAGAUCUGUUUAGUACUUGAAAGGGAGACGACAUACUGAAAGAACUGAGUUCUACACA
Ribosomal RNA from Cavia aperea (Brazilian guinea pig), 120 nucleotides. The record is from Ensembl. Lineage: Eukaryota; Metazoa; Chordata; Mammalia; Rodentia; Caviidae.